This 414-nucleotide unclassified non-coding RNA is filed under the name Hevea brasiliensis (rubber tree). The record is from RNAcentral. Lineage: Eukaryota; Viridiplantae; Streptophyta; Magnoliopsida; Malpighiales; Euphorbiaceae.
GAGUUGAUGAGAGAGUUUGUGUUGUUCUACUUACUUCCACAAAUCAUUUUUGUCUGCUCAAUUUCCUUAAUGCUGAUGGGUGAAAUUGCUGGAAAAAACAUUUGUUCUUACUUAUUGGCUUAAAAUUACUUCGUUGUUUGCUGGCUUAAUCGCAUAAGGCAACUUAGAAGUCACUUUUUUUAUCAAUUCAUUUUCAUCAUUAUGUAAGAAACUUAGAACUAGUCCAUGAUGCAACAUAUGACUCUACAUGAGAGAUUGAGUGGAAAAAUUCCUAUAUUUCAGAAUACACCACGCACAGAUUACUCCCACAUAUGCAUGCUUUCACACACAUGGGGUAGUGCCCGGCCAUUUUUUGUCAAUCCAAGUAUCUUAAUCAUAACUCCCUCAUUCAGUGGUUCCUUCCUUAGAAUUUGC